GGUGGGCCUUCUCUGCGGUCGGGCCUCGCUGCGGGUCAGUCUGGAGUUCUCGCGAGGAAGGGCGUGGGGAUUUCAGAGAGGCGCGGGCCAGUGCUGGCCGCCUCGCUCAGAAUAGCUGCCUUCCCCCGCCUCGCUUGGCCGUUUGUGGUGUUUGUAAUUGCCGAAGGUAGGGACUACCUAAACAUGCUGUGACCGAUCUCUAAUGUGAAAACAAAUAGCCUAGCAACCCAGCUAGCUAACGAGAUGUCGCAGAAAACCAAACGAACAAACCACUGGCUGUGUUUCAGGAUCUCUAAGAGCUCUUCUAAUGAAGGACCAGAGUGACUCCAUUUUUUUGUGGGGCGACUCCAUUUUGUUAAACCCACCUUGCUGAGAAUCGGUACCAUUUCAAGGAGAUCUCUUCUCUACUUUUAUCUAUGCUGCUCUGGCCCAAAGGAGCUCAAGAGGUUAGGAGGCCGACCUUCAUAGACUGCAUCAGUGAGCUCUUAUCUUCUGGCCUUGGGUUCAGCUACAUUCAUGAUCAGGAGAUCAGAAGCCGCAGAGAGAAGAAGCUGCCCAAGAAUGGAAAGGAAGAAAUAUAUCACAUCAUCUGUCUGUCCACAGGCUUUCCUUGGGGCUU
Long non-coding RNA from Tupaia belangeri chinensis (Chinese tree shrew), 619 nucleotides. RefSeq lists it as uncharacterized. The transcript has 4 exons. NCBI's taxonomy places the organism in Eukaryota, Metazoa, Chordata, Mammalia, Scandentia, Tupaiidae. The record is from RefSeq and is a predicted model, not a curated record.